UACGAGGGGAGCAAGCGUUGUUCGGAAUCAUUGGGCGUAAAGGGCGCGUAGGCGGCAGUACAAGUCUGGGGUGAAAGCCCUCGGCUCAACCGAGGAAUUGCCUUGGAAACUGUACAGCUUGAGUAUUGGAGAGGAAAGCGGAAUUCCCAGUGUAGCGGUGAAAUGCGUAGAUAUUGGGAGGAACACCGGUGGCGAAGGCGGCUUUCUGGACAAUCACUGACGCUGAGGCGCGAAAGCCAGGGGAGCAAACGGG
This 253-nucleotide ribosomal RNA is filed under the name uncultured bacterium. Its description in RNAcentral is "partial 16S ribosomal RNA". It matches the Rfam family "Bacterial small subunit ribosomal RNA", at positions 524 to 776 of the family's 1533-position model. The record is from RNAcentral.